This 863-nucleotide long non-coding RNA is filed under the name Prunus dulcis (almond). RNAcentral's name for it is "sRNA ncRNA". Lineage: Eukaryota; Viridiplantae; Streptophyta; Magnoliopsida; Rosales; Rosaceae. The record is from RNAcentral.
ACUCAAGUCUCUCUCCUUGCCAACCAUCAAAGUCUUCUCUGUUUCCCAAGUCCUCUGAAUUCUUUUUCUUGUUCUAAUUUUCCACUUGAGAAUAUAAAAACCAUGGGAUUCCGGUUGCCAGGAAUUGUUGACACCAAGAAGGGUCUAAACAAGGCUGCUACUUCAAAGACCUUAGACAUCCCAAAAGGCUAUUUUGCAGUGUAUGUUGGGGAGGGCCAGAAGAAGCGAUUUGUGGUUCCAAUAUCAUACUUGAAUGAGCCUUUGUUCUUGGAUUUGCUGAGUCAAGCAGAAGAAGAAUUUGGAUACGAUCAUCCAAUGGGCGGUAUCACAAUCCCCUGCAGUGAUGAAACCUUCAUUCAUCUCACUUCCAGCUUUAGUGUGUGAAUGAAGGCAAAUGAAGUGAAUUGGUUCAUAUACAAAUCAGCCUCAGUUCGAUCAGAAAAACUCGCUGUGUCCAGAUGAAGUAGAGGCUGUGAUUGAUCAUAUGCACAUUUUUCUGUUGCUUAUGAAUCUGGGAAGCCUUCUUUCAUAGUCAAACUGCUUGUGAGUUGAGCACGAAGAUACAAAAUUUGUGAAGCAGUCGAAUGACGAUAGCAUGAACUCUUGAAGACUAUUUAGCCCAAAAUCAUAACUCCAAUUUUGAACUCGAUGACAAGAAGAUUUGUCUUUUAAGCCAUGUAUAAUUCUAAAUGUUUUGUUCUCCCGGAAACAUGAGAAAAUAUAAUAUAUUUUGAUUCCUCAUACUUUGUUGUCUCAUUUUUCAGUAAGUUAUUAUGUAAUUGUAGCUUGCUCCCAAUAAUUUAUUAGAUGCAGAUACAGCAAAAUAUUCUGAAAUUGUUGUACCCAGUGGUUGGACAAUAGGG